GCUUUUGUGUUGAUUAUGCGUAUUUAUUUAUGUGCAAUGUUAGGUUAAAUUUUUUUGUGACAGUGUGUGGUAAAUAGGUUUUGUUAUGAUAUAUAUGAUGACAGGGAUUAGAUACCCCAUUAAUGUAUUUUGUAAAGUUGUUCUAGUUUUGUAACUAAAAUGGUUUGGCAGUGAGCGAUUCUUAUUAGGGGAAUAUGCAUAGUGAAGGAUGGUCCACCUAUUAGUUUACUCUUUUUAUGUUGGUGUAUGUCUGGUUUGA
This 259-nucleotide ribosomal RNA is filed under the name Echinococcus granulosus. RNAcentral describes it as "partial 12S ribosomal RNA". Lineage: Eukaryota; Metazoa; Platyhelminthes; Cestoda; Cyclophyllidea; Taeniidae. The record is from RNAcentral.